This 77-nucleotide transfer RNA is filed under the name Paenirhodobacter enshiensis. Its description in RNAcentral is "tRNA-Arg". It matches the Rfam family "tRNA". From Rfam's summary of the family: Transfer RNA (tRNA) molecules are approximately 80 nucleotides in length. Their secondary structure includes four short double-helical elements and three loops (D, anti-codon, and T loops). The record is from RNAcentral. Lineage: Bacteria; Pseudomonadati; Pseudomonadota; Alphaproteobacteria; Rhodobacterales.
GCACUCGUAGCUCAGCUGGAUAGAGCGCUGCCCUCCGAAGGCAGAGGUCGCGCGUUCGAAUCGCGCCGAGUGCACCA